This is a long non-coding RNA of Homo sapiens (human), 468 nucleotides long. Ensembl annotates it as SATB2 antisense RNA 1. Its record names the gene SATB2-AS1. NCBI's taxonomy places the organism in Eukaryota, Metazoa, Chordata, Mammalia, Primates, Hominidae. The record is from Ensembl.
GGGACCCGGGACCGCGCGCGGGAGGAAACGCGGCGGCCGCCCAAGCUGUCACCUCCAGCCUCUCCCCUCUCGGCCGCCUCUGCCAGCAGCCAGAGCCGGACUCACUGACAAGCCGCAGAGAGAGACACACUGAGAGGGAGAUGAUUAUUAGUUGCGUUGAGUCAUCAGGCAAACCUUAGGUGCCGGGCUUCAGCCGAAGCGUUUUUCAAAUUUGUCAUCAUUGGAAACCUCGGACAAGUGGAGUGUAAAAUUUUGAGGGUUUCCAGAAUCCAAGGCACUUGAAACAUUCUGAGUGUGCCUGCAGUAGGGUCUCAGAGGAGUUGCUCUGAAAGCUGUUGAGAGCAGCCACCUUUGCUGUCACUGAGAGCUUGGCAGGGUCAGCUCUGGUGGGCCGUUUGCACCCAGGCUCUGAUGGCACCAGGAUGGCUUCCUGCAACCCGACAACAUCACUCAAACAACCCUAUUACU